Molecule: ribosomal RNA, 253 nt
Filed under: uncultured bacterium
Lineage: Bacteria
Description: partial 16S ribosomal RNA
Rfam family: Bacterial small subunit ribosomal RNA
Source: RNAcentral
AACGUAGGAGGCGAGCGUUAUCCGGAUUUACUGGGCGUAAAGCGCACGCAGGCGGCUCUGUGAGUCGGACGUGAAAGCUCUCGGCUUAACCGGGAGAGGCCGUUCGAUACUGCGGGGCUUGAGGUAGGGAGAGGAAUGCGGAAUUCCCGGUGUAGUGGUGGAAUGCGUAGAUAUCGGGAGGAACACCUGUGGCGAAAGCGGCAUUCUGGCCCUCACCUGACGCUGAGGUGCGAAAGCGUGGGUAGCAAACAGG